CAGACAAUAAUAGAACACACUGU
RNAcentral lists this non-coding RNA (23 nucleotides) under Arabidopsis thaliana (thale cress). Lineage: Eukaryota; Viridiplantae; Streptophyta; Magnoliopsida; Brassicales; Brassicaceae. The record is from RNAcentral.